Molecule: ribosomal RNA, 424 nt
Filed under: uncultured prokaryote
Description: bacterial SSU rRNA
Rfam family: Bacterial small subunit ribosomal RNA
Source: RNAcentral
UGGGGAAUAUUGGACAAUGGGCGCAAGCCUGAUCCAGCCAUGCCGCGUGAGUGGUGAAGGCCCUAGGGUUGUAAAGCUCUUUCAACGGUGAAGAUAAUGACGGUAACCGUAGAAGAAGCCCCGGCUAACUUCGUGCCAGCAGCCGCGGUAAUACGAAGGGGGCUAGCGUUGUUCGGAAUUACUGGGCGUAAAGCGCGCGUAGGCGGAUUGAUCAGUCAGGGGUGAAAUCCCGGGGCUCAACCCCGGAACUGCCUUUGAUACUGUCAAUCUAGAGAUCGAGAGAGGUGAGUGGAAUUCCGAGUGUAGAGGUGAAAUUCGUAGAUAUUGGGUGGAACACCAGUGGCGAAAGCGGCUUUCUGGCUCGAACCUGACGCUGAGGCGCGAAAGCGUGGGGAGCAAACAGGAUUAGAUACCCCCGUAGUCC